This 253-nucleotide ribosomal RNA is filed under the name uncultured bacterium. Its description in RNAcentral is "partial 16S ribosomal RNA". It matches the Rfam family "Bacterial small subunit ribosomal RNA", at positions 524 to 776 of the family's 1533-position model. The record is from RNAcentral.
UACGUAGGUGGCAAGCGUUGUCCGGAUUUACUGGGCGUAAAGAGCGCGCAGGCGGUCGGAUUAGUCGCGUGUGAAAGCCCCCGGCUCAACUGGGGAGGGUCACGCGAUACUGUUCGACUCGAAGGCAGGAGAGGGAAGUGGAAUUCCCGGUGUAGUGGUGAAAUGCGUAGAUAUCGGGAGGAACACCAGUGGCGAAAGCGGCUCUCUGGGGACCAUCUGACGCUGAGGCGCGAAAGCGUGGGGAGCGAACCGG